UGCGCUGUCCAAUGAGCACGCGCGGAUCGGCUCCCUCGCGGGAUCUGGGUUUCUUACCCCGCCCCCUCAGGGAUUUGAUUGGGCGGCUGGCCCGGGUGCUCCGCCUUCGUAGAGCGGUGACGGUCACAGCCAGGCGCAGCCGGGACCCGGACAUUUACAGGCCAGUGAAUGGUGAGUUCAGGGUCUCGAGAUCCGAUACGGGCGGAGGAGCUGUUGGAACCGGCUGGGACAGGACUCGCGCUAGCAAGGCGUCUGCGCCACGGACGCCUCCGGUUCCGCUUGGCUGGCUGGUUCACUUUCGAUUCGGCCGGGUUCUCCUCUGCCCUGUUCGGCUUGGUCCGGUUCUCUCCGGCUUGGCUCGGUUCUCUCCGGCUUGGCUCGGUUCUCUCCGACCCGGCCAUCGCUACCCUCGGUCAGCCAGAGACUGCAGCGGGACCCGGGUGCCCCUUCGCGUCCCCGAGGCGACUGGGCCCAGGGCUGGCGCUGUCUUCACUCUGUGCAUUGACGACGGGCGGCUCGUGACGAGGCUCCGGGUUCCGGUGCUGGUCCCCAGCCGGUCCUCGUCGUACGGGAAGCCUCCACUCAGGUGUCUGAAGUGAAUCUGGAUUUGUAGGUCUCAUUCCGCUUCCUCGGUUCGAGAAAACACUAUCAGUCCACCUGUCCUUCAUUCUGCUUUUCGAAUUUCUUAGUUCCCAAAGAAAUGGAUGACACUUGAGUGUUUUGAAGUAAGGAAUCCUUUAGCCAGCGCUGCGAGGGACACGUGUGUUGUCUGCAGUCGCUGGUAACCGCUUCGUGUGGUGGUGGAUUGGAUCAGAACGAGGCUGAGGAGCCGUCACCCUCAGCCUGGGACCGCUGAAGUUUUUGUGUGCUCUUGGGAAGCAUGCCUGGAUGAAAGAGGAGUCCAGAGAAAGGGAAGAUAAGACAGGAGUGCACCAGCACAAGAACAUAACUUUGAAAACAACCGAGUUUUCUUGAACUGUAUACCUUCAGAAGGGAGGAGGAUGAUCCUGUCUCUGCCCACCCUGACUGUCCUCAUCCCGCUCAUCUCCCUGGCGGGCCUGUUCUACUCCGCCUCUGUGGAAGAAAACUUCCCAGAGGGCUGUACCAGCGCCAGCAGCCUGUGCUUCUACAGUUUGCUUCUGCCGGUCACCGUACCGGUGUACGUGUUCUUCCACCUGUGGACUUGGAUGGGCCUGAAGCUCUUCAGACAUAACUAGGGUAGCUGAGGCCCCGCUUGUGCACGGGGCAAGAGGCUCCUGGUUGUUGGGUUCUGCCCUCAGGUGUUGCAGAUUCUCCUGUUAGUGCUGUAGCUGAAAAACACUUACAAUAAAUAUGUCCCAAGGGAGAGGAACAUGACCGGUCUUCAUCCGAAGACUGUUUUUUCUAAGAUUUAUUCUUAAUUAUGUGGAUAUGAGUGUGGGUCCCCAAAGAGGCCACACGAGGGUUGGAGGUACGAGCAACUGUAAGACUGCCGGAGCUUUACUCAGAUCCUCUGCAAGGGCAAGCAAGUUCAUGUCCUUAACCCCUGAGCAUCUCUCCACCUGCCUGUUUCCUCCCUUCCCUUAGUUCUGGCUAACCUCAAACUGUGAGAGGCAGACCUUGACCUCCUUACCUUCCUGUCUCUACCUCCUGAGUGCUGAAGUUAUAGGCAAGCAUUGCCGCAUGUGUUUAUGUGGUCUGGCAGAACCCAGGUCGUGAACGCUAAGUCGGCACUCUGCCAGCCAACCACCCUGAGGACUGUGUUGUUGUUGUUGUUGUUUUGAGUCCAUUCAUUUAAAAGUCCGUCAUUUGGAAGCCGAGCAGUGGUGGCACUCACCUUUACUCCCAGCACUCGGGAGACAGAGGUGGAUCUCUUGAGUUUGGGCCAGCACAACGAGACUGUAAAAAUAAUAAUUUGGGAUUUUGUUUCAGCUUCAAGGUCAGUGGUGAGGUGUUGGAUCUGCUGAGACAAGGGUUUCAGAUGGUUGGGAACUACUGUGUGGGUGCUGAAGAAAAUCCAGUGCUCAGGGAUGACUCCUUUGAGGAGCUGAGUGGUCCGUAGGUUGGUGGCUCACAACUGCCUGUAUUUCCAGUUCCAGAGGCUCUGACUCCCUCUGCUGGACUCUGGGUACCUGCACACCUGUGACAUGUCUAUUCAUUCACACACAUUAAUAAAUUUAUUUUUAAGAGGGAAAAAAAUCUGACUAUAAACUUACCUUCAUUGUUUUUUCUUUUACAUUUAUUUUUUUUCUUUUCUUUUUUUUCAGAGCUGGGGACCGAACCCAGGGCCUUGCACUUGCUAGGCAAGCGCUCUACCACUGAGCUAAAUCCCCAACCCCUCUUUUACAUUUAUUUAUAUGAGUACACUCUAGCUGUCUUCAGACACACCAGAAGAGGGCAUUGGGUCCCAUUACAGAUGGUUGUGAGCCACCAUGUGGUUGCUGGGAAUUGAACUCAGGACCUCUGGAAGAGCAGCCAGUGCUCUUAACCACUGAGCCAUCUCUCCAGCCCCUACCAUCAUUUUUUCAGUGUCAGGUGAGCAAGGUCAGUGUUGGUGUUUUCUGGUUCUUGGAUUCUUAUUCAAGGAAUAAAGGCCCAUAUACAGAUUUUCAAAGUUGCAAGGAAAUUUCACUCAAAGCAGAGCUAGAUCAGGCAUGCAGAUACAUGAGCCUAUGGGGGCUCUUCUUACUCAACCACGACACCUGUUCUCCCAGCCUAAAUUCCUCUGACUCCUUAUGACUCCCUGUACCUCUAAGUUCAGAGGCUCUGCCUCCAAAAGCACUGUACUCAGGUUUUUAACACACACCCCUAAAAAUAAACACAAAGUUUUCAAAAAAGAGAACAUGUUUUCUUUGGCUGAAAGCCGUCCAUCCUUGCUUGAAGGUAAGCCAGAGAUGGGUGUGACCAUUGCCAGUUCUUGA
Rattus norvegicus (Norway rat) is the source of this 2900-nucleotide long non-coding RNA. Ensembl annotates it as phosphatidylinositol glycan anchor biosynthesis, class Y. Its record names the gene Pigy. Lineage: Eukaryota; Metazoa; Chordata; Mammalia; Rodentia; Muridae. The record is from Ensembl.